AGAUUCAUGUACACAUACAUAUAUUUUAUUUGGGUAUAUUACCUCAGAAAAUCAACAACUGUCAUUUUCAAUCUUAUCUCAAGACCAACCUUCAGAAAUGCUAGUAAGUGCUACAGUAAUAUUAACAUUAUAUUGAGUUUAAAAGAAAUUAAUAUAUUUAAAAUCAGUCUAAGGUUUUAAUGCUGUAUACCCAUUUUCAUAAUCAUUCAAAAACAUCAGGCCGGGCACGGUGGCUCACGCCUGUAAUCCCAGCACUUCGGGAGGCCAAGGUGGGCGGAUCACCUGAGGUCGGGAGUUCAAGACCAGCCUUUGGAGAAACCCCAUCUCUACUAAAAAUACAAAAUUAGCCAGGCGUGGUGGCUCACACCUGUAAUCCUAGCACUUUGGGAGGCCGAAGCAGGUGGAUCACCUGAGGUCAGGAAUUCAAGACCAGCCUGGCCAACAUGGUGCAACUCCGUCUCUACUAAAAAUACAAAAUUAGCCGGGCAUGGUGGCGCAUGCCUGUAAUCCCAGCUACUCAAGAGGCUGAGGCAGGAGAACCACUUGAACCUGUGAGGCAGAGGUUGCAGUGAGCCAAGAUUGUGCCAUUGCACUGCAGCCUGGGCAACAAGAACAAAACUCCGUCUCAAAAAAAAAAAAAAAUCAUUAGUAGCGUUCUCUGUCAGUUUAUUGUGGAAAGAAAUCAAGUAAACAAAUUCUCAAAAAGAUUUGCUUCAAAUAAGAGAACACUGUUUAGGUGGAAGAUCUCCUUUUUCAGCACGGUCUUCCCAAGGUAACAAGGGGGUUGGGAUUGACUUGGGUGUGUCUGACAUAAUUGAGAAAGAAAUUUAGUCUGCAGGUUAAAAGUGAAGCUGAAAUCCAGGAGUUAAUGUUUUCCUCAAUGGCUUAUAAAAAAAUUGAAGAGUGACACAGUUUUCUCAUUUUAAAAGUGGCUAAUUUCUAAUGCUAAUACUGGUUAUGCAGAGUAUUAAAAUUUCUGAUAAAUGUUUUAGUAAAAACUAAUUCUCUCCAUGUCUGUGCAUAUAUUAUUUAAUAAUAUGAUCCUUAAAUGUAUGUGAUCCAACCAAUCUGUGGCAAAUCAUAACCUCCAAGACUAUAUACAGAUUAGAACUACGUACAGAUUAUGUAAAAUUUACUCUUGUGACACAUGAGUUAUUUUAAUUGAAUUUAAGUUGCCACCCCAAUUAAAAAUUAUUUCAUAUUUUAAAGAUAAGAUUUUAGAAAUAUCUUCUACAGAAUAUUAGUAUCUGACUAGGAAUGUAAGUCCAUUAUGUUUACUUAGAAUGUUUCUUUUUAAUAAGAAAUAGAUACAAAAUUGAAGUAUCCUUUAACUACCAUGCUUGGUAACAUUUCCCUUCCACCUCCUUUCUUCCUAGAGGUAACCACUCCACUUUUGGGAACUGAGUAUAUACAUAUCCUUUCAAUCCAUUCUUUAGUUUUACAUAAUUUAUCCAUAACCAAUUCUUAGUACUAGGGCUGGUUAGUGUUGAUUUUAUUCAAAUUCACAGAAGCAUCAUUACAAUAUGUUCAUCAUUUUUCUUCACUCUAAUUUUUUAAAAAUAUUUCUGUUAAUAUAUAGACUUAAUUUGUCACUUAACUGCUAGAGAGUACUCUACUAUGUUACUAUCACAUUUUAUUCAUCUAUUUCACAAGAGACAGCAUUUGUUUCCCAACUUCUGGCUACUAUAACUCAUGGUGCAAUGAACUAUACAGCUAUAGACCAGUACAUGACUCCCUGUGUUCAUGUUUCUUGGGUAGAUGCAUAUAUAUAGUAGUUCCCCCUUAUCCACAGCUUUGCUUUCCAUGGUUUCAGUUACCUGUAGUCACCACAGUUCAUAAAUAGUUGAGAACAGUACAAUAAGGUAUUCUGAGAGAAAGAUCAUAUUCACAUAACUUUUAUGAUUACAGUAUAUUGUUAUAAUUGUUCCAUAUUAUGUUUAUUAUUGUUUUAAAUCUCUUGCUGUGUCUAAUCUGUAAACUAAAUUUUAUCAUAGGUAUGUAUAUAUAAGAAAAAAACAUAGACAUAGAGUUUGGUCCUAUCUGGGUUUUAGGUAUCCACUGGGGGUCUUAGAGUCCAUCUCUUGCAGAAAAUAGGGGACUACCAUACUCAAGAGUGGAACUACCGGGUAUUCUGGAAUGUUUUAGAAGUUCUUUCCUGCCCUAAGGUUUUAAAAACAUCUUCUUAUAAAACUGUUAUAUUAUUAAGUAUUGCUUUUUGCAUUUUAGUCUUUAGUACUUUAAGAAUUCAUAAGAAAAAUAUUUUAUAUUAUGAUGGGAGAUAUUAUUUUUCCAUAUGAAGAGUCAAUUAAUUUUUAAGUAAUCCAUGAUUUCCCCACCAAUCUGGGAUACCGCCUCUAUCAAUUACCAAUUCCCCAUAUAUUCAUGCACACAUUUCUGAAUUCAAUAUUCUGUCUCAGUCUCAGUUUUAUGACUGCUUCAACAACAAAUAAUUUUGAUGAUUCUAGUUUUACAAUUCAUAUAUGUAGCAAAACAUCACAAAAAUGAUAAUUUUGUCUCUUAAUUUCAAAUCCUCAUACAUCUCAUAUCUAUUUCUUAAUGCAUCUGUAGGCCUUCCAGGAACACAUUAAGUAGUGUCCAUGACUAGAUCCUAACUUUAAUGAGUAUACUCCUAGAAGUACAGCAUUGAUAAUGCUUGUUGUGGGAGUUUUGGGGGUACGGGUUUUCUUUACACUAUAAUACUUAUUAAACAUCAUAGUAUUUAAGUUUUGAAUUGCUGCUGAAGGACUUCCCACAUUCAUGUCACUUUAAUGUAAAAUGAAUUUUCCAAUACACUAUUAAGUGUAAAAUCUGCUGAACGUUUUGCUAAAUCCAAGGCAUUCAUAGAGAACUUUAAUGAGUAUGAAUUCUCUGGUGUCUAAUGUGAUGUGACUUUUGGCUGAAAGCUUUCCCACAUUCACUACACUGAUAAGGUUUUUCACCAGUAUGGAUUCUCAUGUGCAGAGCAAGGGUUGAGAACUGAGAAAAGGCUUUCCCACAUUCAUUACAACCAUAGGGUUUCUCACCUGUAUGGCUUCUCAUAUGCACAGUAAGAGAUGAGCUUUGACAGAAGGCUUUCCCACAGACCUUACACUCAUAAGGCUUAUCACCUGUAUGAAUUCUCACAUGUACAAUAAGUGAUGUGAUUCGAGAGAAGGCUUUUCCACAUUUAUUACAUUCAUAGGGUUUCUCUCCUGUAUGAAUAUUGUGAUGUUUAAUGAGGUAUUGCUUCUGCCUGAAGAUUGUUCCACAUUCAUUACAUUUGUAGGGUUUCUCUCCAAUAUGAAUUUUCUCAUGCUCUGUGAGAUUUGACUUGCCACUGAAGGCUUUCCCACAUUCCUUACACGUAUAAGGUUUCUCUCCUGUGUGACUUCUCUGGUGUCUAAUGAGGCUUGACUUCUGAAUGAAAGCUUUCCCACACCCUUUACAUUCAUAAGGUUUCUCUCCAGUAUGGAUUCUCUGAUGUAUAAUGAGGUUUUCCUUCUGGCUAAAAGCUUUUCCACACUCACUACAUUUAAAGGGCUUCUUUCCAGUAU
Molecule: long non-coding RNA, 3533 nt
Filed under: Homo sapiens (human)
Lineage: Eukaryota; Metazoa; Chordata; Mammalia; Primates; Hominidae
Description: HSALNT0259178
Source: RNAcentral